RNAcentral lists this ribosomal RNA (446 nucleotides) under uncultured bacterium. RNAcentral's name for it is "partial 16S ribosomal RNA". It matches the Rfam family "Bacterial small subunit ribosomal RNA", at positions 338 to 795 of the family's 1533-position model. The record is from RNAcentral.
CCUACGGGUGGCAGCAGUCGAGAAUCAUUCACAAUGGGGGAAACCCUGAUGGUGCGACGCCGCGUGGGGGAAUGAAGGUCUUCGGAUUGUAAACCCCUGUCAUGUGGGAGCAAAUUAAAAAGAUAGUACCACAAGAGGAAGAGACGGCUAACUCUGUGCCAGCAGCCGCGGUAAUACAGAGGUCUCAAGCGUUGUUCGGAAUCACUGGGCGUAAAGCGUGCGUAGGCUGUUUCGUAAGUCGUGUGUGAAAGGCGCGGGCUCAACCCGCGGACGGCACAUGAUACUGCGAGACUAGAGUAAGGGAGGGGGAACCGGAAUUCUCGGUGUAGCAGUGAAAUGCGUAGAUAUCGAGAGGAACACUCGUGGCGAAGGCGGGUUCCUGGACAGUAACUGACGCUGAGGCACGAAGGCCAGGGGAGCGAAAGGGAUUAGAUACCCGUGUAGUC